UUGACCUUGCUUGUUUUACUGCCUCAGGUGUUGUUUUUAGAACUUCUUACUUUGUAAGUAUUUUUGUUAUCGAGAUUUUUGCUGGUUUGGUUACGCGUGUUUGGACUCUUGCUAGCUCGUUUUGUGUAUUUUCGGGUUUUGCUGUUACCUUGCCUUUUCGCAAAACUUUUUUUUUUUUUUUUUUUUGCUGUUGUUAUUGAGUCUUCUUUUGAGCUUGAGUUACCGGCAGCAUGUGAACCUACGACAGUGCUCAGGACUCCAGCGAGGCAUUUUAUGCAUGAAGACUGCGGCUGAAUUUAACGGCAUUCAAAGGCGCCGCUUCCACUGGCCAGGGGGGCCCUUCGAGAAGUCAGCAGCUGUUUCCGGAUGGAACCUGGAUGCACUCUGCGGGCAGCACAGGGGUGGGGGGAGACGAAGUCUCCAGCUGUAGAGUGGGCGUUCCGUCACAAGUCACACCUGUCUCAAAUCUGGCCUUGUUACCUGUCUGCUUUAAAAGCUAGGCCACGCUGACAACUGAGUGCCUGAUUUUUAGCCUUGUGGAGAAUGCCGGACAUCUGACACUGGUAAACUGCAAUAAAAGAAUGUUUAGCAGAGGGAUGUUUGAAAAUAUUGAAAGUUGGACACUAUCCACACAUUUAAUUUCUAUGGUGGUCGUUCCUCCGUAGGGUCGUGACUUGCAAGUGAGCUGGAACUUAUUCCAACUGCCUUUGGGUGAGCGUGAGGAGUACUAGUGUCUAGCCAAUUCAAUUAAUUGUUUAAUAAAAUGAAUUUAUGAAUAUGUUCAAUCAUAUCCUGUCAGUUCUCAUGAGAUGUUCCCAUCUUUGAGAAUGCCAAGAAUUCUGCAAUCCUGACCUUGUCGACAAAAGCUUGGGAAUGUAUCUUGGACCUUUUUGACCCUAGAAAAUAGUACACGGCUUCUCUGGUAAUAUCAUUAGUCUUAUGGGGCCCCUCAUUCGUGGAAGAAAUUGUUAUAUGUGACAAUGAACUUCCAGAAACAGAGCUAUUUAGGACUCAAUUACAUGAUGGCCUCACAAGUUUUGAGUUGAAUUAUGAGUCAUUGUUUCAGAUAACAAGAUGAGAAAAAUGUUCUUUAAUAUUU
Long non-coding RNA from Hippocampus comes (tiger tail seahorse), 1099 nucleotides. RefSeq lists it as uncharacterized. The transcript has 4 exons. The record is from RefSeq and is a predicted model, not a curated record. NCBI's taxonomy places the organism in Eukaryota, Metazoa, Chordata, Actinopteri, Syngnathiformes, Syngnathidae.